CGAUGUCAACUAGCCGUUGGGACUCUUGAAGUCUUAGUGGCGCAGCUAACGCACUAAGUUGACCGCCUGGGGAGUACGGCCGCAAGGUUAAAACUCAAAUGAAUUGACGGGGGCCCGCACAAGCGGUGGAGCAUGUGGUUUAAUUCGACGCAACGCGAAGAACCUUACCUGGCCUUGACAUGCAGAGAACUUUCCAGAGAUGGAUUGGUGCCUUCGGGAACUCUGACACAGGUGCUGCAUGGCCGUCGUCAGCUCGUGUCGUGAGAUGUUGGGUUAAGUCCCGUAACAAGCGCAACCCCUAUCCCUAGUUGCUAGCAGUUCGGCUGAGAACUCUAGGGAGACUGCCGGUGACAAACCGGAGGAAGGUGGGGAUGACGUCAGGUCAUCAUGGCCCUUACGGCCAGGGCUACACACGUGCUACAAUGGUGCGUACAGAGGGCUGCAAACCCGCGAGGGGGAGCUAAUCUCACAAAACGCAUCGUAGUCCGGAUCGGAGUCUGCAGCUCGACUCCGUGAAGUCGGAAUCGCUAGUAAUCGCGAAUCAGAAUGUCGCGGUGAAUACGUUCCCGGGCCUUGUACACACCGCCCGUCACACCAUGGGAGUGGAUUGCACCAGAAGUGGUUAGUCUAACCUUCGGGAGGACGAU
RNAcentral lists this ribosomal RNA (647 nucleotides) under uncultured bacterium. RNAcentral describes it as "bacterial SSU rRNA". It matches the Rfam family "Bacterial small subunit ribosomal RNA", at positions 807 to 1454 of the family's 1533-position model. The record is from RNAcentral.